CCUACGGGUGGCUGCAGUGGGGAAUAUUGCACAAUGGGCGCAAGCCUGAUGCAGCCAUGCCGCGUGUGUGAAGAAGGCCUUCGGGUUGUAAAGCACUUUCAGCGGGGAGGAAGGCGGUGAGGUUAAUAACCUCAUCGAUUGACGUUACCCGCAGAAGAAGCACCGGCUAACUCCGUGCCAGCAGCCGCGGUAAUACGGAGGGUGCAAGCGUUAAUCGGAAUUACUGGGCGUAAAGCGCACGCAGGCGGUCUGUCAAGUCGGAUGUGAAAUCCCCGGGCUCAACCUGGGAACUGCAUUCGAAACUGGCAGGCUAGAGUCUUGUAGAGGGGGGUAGAAUUCCAGGUGUAGCGGUGAAAUGCGUAGAGAUCUGGAGGAAUACCGGUGGCGAAGGCGGCCCCCGGGACAAAGACUGACGCUCAGGUGCGAAAGCGUGGGGAGCAAACAGGAUUAGAUACCCGUGUAGUC
Molecule: ribosomal RNA, 465 nt
Filed under: uncultured Klebsiella sp.
Lineage: Bacteria; Pseudomonadati; Pseudomonadota; Gammaproteobacteria; Enterobacterales; Enterobacteriaceae
Description: bacterial SSU rRNA
Rfam family: Bacterial small subunit ribosomal RNA
Source: RNAcentral